GUCGAGGUCGGGGCCCGGCGUCCGCAAGGGGUUCGAGGGUGGCCAGAUGCCCCUCUACCGCCGGCUUCCCAAGCUCCGGCGAUCGCUGGAGUAAGAGCCUUUAGGUUCUCACCCAUGCCUGUGACGCUUCGACCUAGCUCUGUAUGCUCAACUAAUCAGCCGCAGAAUAAUGCAGAUGUAAGCACAAAUCCAUAUUGUUUUCAAGAUUCAAAUGUGAACCAUCUUUUGUUGAUGUUUGAUGCAGUGAUUCGGUGCUAAGACAUUAAUGUUGAUUAUUAUGUGUCAGAUUUAGUUUACAGCUUCACUGUUUUAAUGCUUGUAUUUUACGCAAUCUUAUUGUACUUAUGCAGCAUUAAAAAAUCAUUUAUUUACUUAUAUAUUCUCUUGAUUGACACUAA
Molecule: long non-coding RNA, 398 nt
Organism: Asparagus officinalis (garden asparagus)
Lineage: Eukaryota; Viridiplantae; Streptophyta; Magnoliopsida; Asparagales; Asparagaceae
Exons: 2
Source: RefSeq, a predicted model, not a curated record